This is a long non-coding RNA of Zingiber officinale, 347 nucleotides long. RefSeq lists it as uncharacterized. The record is from RefSeq and is a predicted model, not a curated record. The transcript has 3 exons. NCBI's taxonomy places the organism in Eukaryota, Viridiplantae, Streptophyta, Magnoliopsida, Zingiberales, Zingiberaceae.
ACUGCUGUUGCUGAUGACCGUUCCCUCCAUUGCCUGUUGACAGUCUAUACAUGGAAGAAGUGCACGUUAAGUUUGGAGAGGAAUUAUGCUUCACUGUUGGAGGUCAGCAUAUUCCUUUUGGUGCAUCACCACAGAAUAUCUGGACUGAACUUGGACCUCCUUGUAGAAUCUAUCAGAAGCAAAUAAUUCUACUGUUCAGAUAUCUUUUCUUGUGUUUUGCUAUUCUGAACUCCUUAGUACUACUUUAUAGGGACUAGUAUUUAGAAAGAUUUUAAUUCUUAACCACUCUGCUUAAUACAUUGUUUAAGUUUUGGUGGAAAGAUAAAAUUGGGGCAUAACUAAUAGUU